UGGGAAAUUUUGGACAAUGGGCGCAAGCCUGAUCCAGCCAUGCCGCGUGCGGGAAGAAGGCCUUCGGGUUGUAAACCGCUUUUGUCGGGGAAGAAAUCUCUCGGGCUAAUACCUCGGGGGGAUGACGGUACCCGAAGAAUAAGCACCGGCUAACUACGUGCCAGCAGCCGCGGUAAUACGUAGGGUGCGAGCGUUAAUCGGAAUUACUGGGCGUAAAGCGUGCGCAGGCGGUCGUGCAAGACAGAUGUGAAAUCCCCGGGCUCAACCUGGGAACUGCAUUUGUGACUGCACGGCUGGAGUACGGCAGAGGGGGAUGGAAUUCCGCGUGUAGCAGUGAAAUGCGUAGAUAUGCGGAGGAACACCGAUGGCGAAGGCAGUCCCCUGGGCCUGUACUGACGCUCAUGCACGAAAGCGUGGGGAGCAAAC
RNAcentral lists this ribosomal RNA (426 nucleotides) under uncultured bacterium. RNAcentral's name for it is "bacterial SSU rRNA". It matches the Rfam family "Bacterial small subunit ribosomal RNA", at positions 355 to 773 of the family's 1533-position model. The record is from RNAcentral.